CCCUGGUAGUCCACGCCGUAAACGGUGGGAACUAGGUUUGGCGACAUUCCACGUCGUCGGUGCCGCAGCUAACGCAUUAAGUUCCCCGCCUGGGGAGUACGGCCGCAAGGCUAAAACUCAAAGGAAUUGACGGGGGCCCGCACAAGCAGCGGAGCAUGUGGCUUAAUUCGACGCAACGCGAAGAACCUUACCAAGGCUUGACAUACACCGGAAAGCAUCAGAGAUGGUGCUCCCCCUUGUGGUCGGUGUACAGGUGGUGCAUGGCUGUCCUCCGCUCGUGUCGUGAGAUGUUGGGUUAAGUCCCGCCACGAGCGCAACCCUUGUUCUGUGUUGCCCGCAAGCCCUUUGGGGUGAUGGGGACUCACAGGAGACCGCCGGGGUCAACUCGGAGGAAGGUGGGGACGACGUCAAGUCAUCAUGCCCCUUAUGUCUUGGGCUGCACACGUGCUACAAUGGCCGCUACAAUGAGCUGCGAU
RNAcentral lists this ribosomal RNA (476 nucleotides) under uncultured actinomycete. RNAcentral's name for it is "bacterial SSU rRNA". It matches the Rfam family "Bacterial small subunit ribosomal RNA", at positions 785 to 1253 of the family's 1533-position model. Lineage: Bacteria; Bacillati; Actinomycetota; Actinomycetes; Actinomycetales. The record is from RNAcentral.